Molecule: long non-coding RNA, 234 nt
Filed under: Setaria viridis
Lineage: Eukaryota; Viridiplantae; Streptophyta; Magnoliopsida; Poales; Poaceae
Description: long non-coding RNA (SVIR_LNC007880)
Source: RNAcentral
GACGGUUGACAAGUGAAGCGACCCUUCGCGGUGCGCGGAUGUCGUGGGAUUAGGUUCGCCAUACAUGGUUAAGAAAUUCGAAUCGAUUUGUCUGCCUCUCACAGUUUGGGACUACUUGAUCACUAUGCUACACUGAGUAAGAGUGAAAGAUGAUGAUGAUCUAAUAUUGCUACCUGUAUUAUUCGCUUGGAAACUAUGCUUGGUUUAGUAUAGUUGCUAACUUAGAAUGGUAAA